UAGAGGAAGUAAAAGUCGUAACAAGGUCUCCGUAGGUGAACCUGCGGAGGGAUCAUUACAAGUGACCCCGGUUUACCACCGGGAUGUUCAUAACCCUUUGUUGUCCGACUCUGUUGCCUCCGGGGCGACCCCUGCCUUCGGGCGGGGGCUCCGGGUGGACACUUCAAACUCUUGCGUAACUUUGCAGUCUGAGUAAACUUAAUUAAUAAAUUAAAACUUUUAACAACGGAUCUCUUGGUUCUGGCAUCGAUGAAGAACGCAGCGAAAUGCGAUAAGUAAUGUGAAUUGCAGAAUUCAGUGAAUCAUCGAAUCUUUGAACGCACAUUGCGCCCCCUGGUAUUCCGGGGGGCAUGCCUGUUCGAGCGUCAUUUCACCACUCAAGCCUCGCUUGGUAUUGGGCAACGCGGUCCGCCGCGUGCCUCAAAUCGACCGGCUGGGUCUUCUGUCCCCUAAGCGUUGUGGAAACUAUUCGCUAAAGGGUGUUCGGGAGGCUACGCCGUAAAACAACCCCCAUUUCUAAGGUUGACCUCGGAUCAGGUAGGGAUACCCGCUGAACUUAAGCAUAUC
RNAcentral lists this ribosomal RNA (567 nucleotides) under Cladosporium cladosporioides. RNAcentral's name for it is "eukaryotic LSU rRNA". The stretch from base 215 to 368 matches the Rfam family "5.8S ribosomal RNA". The record is from RNAcentral. Lineage: Eukaryota; Fungi; Ascomycota; Dothideomycetes; Cladosporiales; Cladosporiaceae.